This 253-nucleotide ribosomal RNA is filed under the name uncultured bacterium. Its description in RNAcentral is "partial 16S ribosomal RNA". It matches the Rfam family "Bacterial small subunit ribosomal RNA", at positions 524 to 776 of the family's 1533-position model. The record is from RNAcentral.
GACGUAGGGCGCGAGCGUUGUCCGGAAUUAUUGGGCGUAAAGAGCUCGUAGGCGGCUUGUCGCGUCGACUGUGAAAACCCGCGGCUCAACUGCGGGCCUGCAGCCGAUACGGGCAGGCUAGAGUUCGGUAGGGGAGACUGGAAUUCCUGGUGUAGCGGUGAAAUGCGUAGAUAUCUGGAGGAACACCGGUGGCGAAGGCGGCGUUCUGGACUGCUACUGACACUGAGGAACGAAAGCCAGGGGAGCAAACGGG